RNAcentral lists this ribosomal RNA (31 nucleotides) under Beauveria brongniartii. RNAcentral describes it as "partial 28S ribosomal RNA". Lineage: Eukaryota; Fungi; Ascomycota; Sordariomycetes; Hypocreales; Cordycipitaceae. The record is from RNAcentral.
UUUGACCUCGAAUCAGGUAGGACUACCCGCU